Chelonoidis abingdonii (Abingdon island giant tortoise) is the source of this 2901-nucleotide non-coding RNA. The record is from RefSeq and is a predicted model, not a curated record. Lineage: Eukaryota; Metazoa; Chordata; Testudines; Testudinidae.
AGUCAAGGCAUUGUGACUUUCAUUUAGGGCAGUUUAUUUGUCAUUUUGAACAAAUAAGGCAAGAUAUUUGAGCAAGAUCAUUCAAACAAGAUAUCCUGUAUCAAACUUUAAGGAAAUGGAAUAAGUCACUUUUCAUACAUAUACAAACUAAUGACAAUACUAAUAUAUACAAACAGUCAGCUCUUACAAAAUAGCACUUCAAGUCAGCACUUAUGCCAGUGUCACUAAUUUGUUACAAAAAGUUAAAGCUACAAACUUCACAUUAUUAAGUCUCAUGUAACUGAUAUCAUCAGCAUCUUUGCAGGUUGGAAAGUGAAGAUGACACUUUGUCCAGAACACUUUCAGUAAUGCAUAUGGACCCAUAAAGCAGGUGAAUAUAAUUUUACAAUUAAAUGAACACAUUGCUUAAAAAUGUUGCCUGAAUUACUUUCCCUCACGAGAUAAGCCUCAGUUGUCACAAGCUGGAGGAGUUUAAGGAGUGGGCAUAUGAGAGGCUCCUGCAGGGGACCUGAAAAGGGAAAUGUUUUCUCUAGUUAAGAUUACAAAUUCUUGAAGGUGAAAAAACUCCCAUUUUUGUUCAAACUCAGAGUAGCAAAUCUAGGUGUAGGCCUCAACUCUUAUGAGUAUUAAGGCAGAUUUAAGAGAAAAUUAAACCAUUGGACCACUUCUUACUUUCACAUAUUUGGGGUCUUUUUUCUGUGAUUUUUUUCAUAGUUAACCAUUUCAGUGCAAGUUAUUUCACUAACACUACAUUGGGCUGUAAGCACCAAUUAGAGCAAUCAAGUUAUGCACUCAGUAAAGUGAAAACUGAAGUCAAGCACCCAACUUCAGUGUUUUAAGUAAAACAUGGGCAUCUCAAUGUCUUCCCAUUGCUGAAAGAAGUUGUGUCUAUCAGUGGUAAAUAUGGUACAAAGACAAACCAUUCCUAACAGAACGGUCUAUUUGACAUGUAAGCAAUGCACUUAGCUUGCUACGAAGUCACUCAUAUUGUACAUGUGCAUCAUGCCAGAGGCAAAAUGCAUAUAUACUAGAAGUAACUAAGCCAUGAGCCAGUAUUUAAAAUUAAAAAAUUGCAUCUUGUUACUGGAAGUUUCAUUUAAGCAAGGGAAUGUAAUGAACACACGCCCUUAAAAAAAAAAAAAUCAUUUGAGCAUCUUUAAUAAAUAUUUUUAAGCGAGAAAACACACACAUUGGAUGAAUUUUUAAUAAGUACUGCAGAUGGUGUGUUUGUGUCCAGCAUUAUUAGUGUGCUGUAUUGUCAACACAGGUGCUUACUAGCCUGCAUGGUUCAUUUAAAUUGCCAGAUUCUUAUUGCUAAGAGACUGUCAUCUACUAACAAAACGAGAGGUUUAAAUUAUUUAGCUUGUGCUGUGGAAGUGAUUUUAACUCAAGUUACUUGGUUUCUUUCAAGAUCUUCAUGCUAGAAACUUCUGCAAUAUUCGAGGCUAUCAAAAAUUAUGCCUUCCCCACAGCUGGUUAACGUGGGUACGCAUGGAAGAUUGUUCCCAUUUUGUGCCAGACCACACUGCUGACUGCCUCCCUCUCUUUCCAGAGUCUGCUUGACUAGGCUGCUGAGCUCUUGAAGUCCAUUAUAUUAGCUCUAUUUGCAGCUGAGGAAUUAACUGAAGCUGUUAAAAGCCAGAUCCUCAGGGGUGUAAACUGGCAUAACUCCUCCUAUGCCAACAGAGUUCACUGAUUUACAACAGCUGAGGGUACAAUCCCAAGAAACAAAGGGUCUAAAACUAUGAUGCUUCCACCAGCUAUGACGGGAACCUUUCUUGUUACUAGAAGCAUUUGAUUUCAGGAGACACUGAUAUUUAUUUGUGUGCGUGUCGUACCAAGCUCUGGUUCAGAAGGAUGACAUGAAAACUAGUCCCUCUAUCAGAGAAAGAAAAUAAUUGAAAUACUUGCUCUUUACAAACAUUUCAUUUUAUGUGGAAUAACUACAAGUGGAUCCUAAAAUCGAAUCCAACAUUAGCUUUGCUCUACUGCUGCCAAUGCACAGCACACCCACUGUUAGGUCUCUGCAUCUAUACCUAGAGAUACCGGGAUUACUUUUUCUGUUUUGCUCUUUAUCAUGUCAGUGUAAGUUUAUUAAAUCAUUUCAAGGUAACUUGACUUGCACUGACUGUAAAUAAAACAUACUAUUUACCAGUGUGUCCAGAAAAACUGGAAGAGGUUGAUCUUGGCCAUAUUAAAUGCAGAACAGAUUAAGUUGGAACUUCAGUCGCCCAACCCAUCUGGCAUCAAUAUAUCAUUGUUUAAUCUUCUGUAUAACCUCUCUUUAUUUUCAGCUUAGCUUUUCUGCUGUACUUGACCUUUAAGUAAAACAUUAUGCAAUUAAUUUUUCAUCUAAAGAUGGAAGCUUGAAAUUGUAAAGCCCUGUAAAACACCAUAAUUAGUGAAAUAUUUUUAAAUCCUCUCCUUAGUGGAGCAAAAUAUCUAACUUCCCAAGAGAGGGUUCACACAACUUUUUAGCACUCCAGUGCUAGUAGGAACUAAAUGAAGGAUAUUUCCCAGGAUGCAGAUGAAGGAGCUUCUGCUUUGUUUUACAUUGGAACUCUGCUUGGAUUUUGGUUUAAGUCAGUGAGGCUUUUAAACUGCAGAACAGCAUUUGAUGGAAGCACAGCAACAUGCUUAAUCUACCAGUAUUAAUUUAUAUAGUACACACAAGACAAAACUAUGGUCUCAAAAAACACUUGCUUAAAGCGCAUGGGGUAAGGCAUAGGGCUUAUUACAGCUUUUAAAAAGUAAGAUUUGUUCCUUUCCAAAGGUGGGAAUAGUUCCUGCAUCUUCUUGUCUACUCUUUUCAGUGACCCCUCUUCAAUUUAACACUUUCCAUGGUACCUUAACAGUAGUAAGACAGUUAAAAUGUUUGAAACUGAGUCUGUACAAAAAAAA